AAUCCAUGGUGAGGACAUCUUCUCAUCAAAUCCUUAUACCUUUCCCAAGCCUCAUAUAGUGAUUUAGAAUCAAAUUGCAUGAAAGAAGUAAUAUCAUUCCGCAUUUU
This is a small nucleolar RNA of Theobroma cacao (cacao), 107 nucleotides long. It matches the Rfam family "Plant small nucleolar RNA R71". Rfam says of the family: R71 is a member of the C/D box family of snoRNAs containing the C (UGAUGA) and D (CUGA) box motifs. Multiple nearly identical copies of this snoRNA have been identified in Arabidopsis, and it is thought to function as a 2'-O-ribose methylation guide for 18S ribosomal RNA. The record is from Rfam. Lineage: Eukaryota; Viridiplantae; Streptophyta; Magnoliopsida; Malvales; Malvaceae.